GAGGGUGAGCUUAGAUCCCUCAGCACGUUGUGUGUUAAUAGUGUUGCUUUUGGCCGAGCAGCAUGGUUAGUGAAUC
Non-coding RNA from Prevotella intermedia 17, 76 nucleotides. Lineage: Bacteria; Pseudomonadati; Bacteroidota; Bacteroidia; Bacteroidales; Prevotellaceae. The record is from Rfam.